AUUGAACGCUGGCGGAAUGCUUUACACAUGCAAGUCGAACGGCAGCACGGACUUCGGUCUGGUGGCGAGUGGCGAACGGGUGAGUAAUGUAUCGGAACGUGCCCAGUCGUGGGGGAUAACGUAGUGAAAAUUACGCUAAUACCGCAUACGAUCUAUGGAUGAAAGCGGGGGAUCGCAAGACCUCGCGCGAUUGGAGCGGCCGAUAUCAGAUUAGGUAGUUGGUGGGGUAAAGGCCCACCAAGCCAACGAUCUGUAGCUGGUCUGAGAGGACGACCAGCCACACUGGAACUGAGCCACGGUCCAGACUCCUACGGGAGGCAUCAGUGGGGAAUUGUGGACAAUGGGCGAAAGCCUGAUCCAGCCAUUCCGCGUGCAGGAUGAAGGCCCUCGGGUUGUAAACUGCUUUUGUACAGAACGAAAAGGUUUCUACUAAUACUAGGAGCUCAUGACGGUACUGUAAGAAUAAGCACCGGCUAACUACGUGCCAGCCGCCGCCGUAA
RNAcentral lists this ribosomal RNA (500 nucleotides) under uncultured bacterium. RNAcentral's name for it is "partial 16S ribosomal RNA". It matches the Rfam family "Bacterial small subunit ribosomal RNA", at positions 30 to 523 of the family's 1533-position model. The record is from RNAcentral.